Long non-coding RNA from Silurus meridionalis, 725 nucleotides. RefSeq lists it as uncharacterized. The record is from RefSeq and is a predicted model, not a curated record. The transcript is spliced from 3 exons. NCBI's taxonomy places the organism in Eukaryota, Metazoa, Chordata, Actinopteri, Siluriformes, Siluridae.
GCUGCUCGACCGCCAGCCUUCCCCGCUGGUUCUGUCUCCGGACUCUGUUCCAUGUCGGAUUACUCUUUGCCGUGGAGUUACUUUCAGUUCUGGUUGUGCGUUCUGUUGGACAUUUGCUCGCGUUGUGGAUUACUCGUCCCGAGCGGAUACUCUUCGUUGCUUUUCGUCACGGCUUAAGAGAGUGUGUUUCUUUUGGUUGUGUUGUUUUUCAAUAAACUAUGAUUGACUUACUUCCGCUUCCGCAUCAUGGUCAUCAGCCUGACAGUAGGCAAGGGGUCGAGAAUGCAGGUUGAUGAUUUUGAUGAGGAAAUAACUUAAAUGGAUCCCACCUAAUGCUCUGGUCCGAAGCCCCGUGAGAUGACAGAUGUGUCCUAUCCUAGAUCUACGUCAGCUGAACCGCUCUUUGAUGAGGGUCCAGAUCAAAAUGCUGACCCUCAAGCAGGAUGUGUCCCAGAUCAUCAGAGGACUGGUUUGUCACAUAAUUUGGCUGCCAGGUCUCUGGAGUUGGGACUUGCAACAAGAACAACCAGGCAAACCCACAAAGUAUGUAUUAGGAAAGGACAUUUGCAAGCUAAUGGUAAAUAAAAAAGGCCCAGAUACAGGGUGUUUCCCAAGCUAAUGGUAAUUGGGGAGGGCCCAGAUUUAAGGGAGUUUCCGAAGUUAAUAGUAAAUCAGGAUGCUCAAUGUGUUUAAAAGAAAAGUGAAAUGUAAUUUGCAUCAGACCA